This 125-nucleotide non-coding RNA is filed under the name Stutzerimonas nitrititolerans. Its description in RNAcentral is "rmf RNA". It matches the Rfam family "rmf RNA". The record is from RNAcentral. Lineage: Bacteria; Pseudomonadati; Pseudomonadota; Gammaproteobacteria; Pseudomonadales; Pseudomonadaceae.
GGUUAGAACACCACUCAGAUCGGCAUCGCAACGAUGCCGGUAGAACCCCGCCACGCCGGCAGCGGGCUUCGCUGGCAGUCUAUCUGCCGGGCCUCGCCAUGAGGCCAACAGGAACACCAGUCAAC